AUGAACGCUGGCGGCGUGCCUAACACAUGCAAGUCGAACGGAGUCCAGCCUUAGAGCCCUUCGGGUCAAAGAGGGGAAGACUGAGUGGCGGACGGGUGAGUAACACGUGGGCAACCUGGCUCAUAGAGGGGGAUAACAGAGAGAAAUUUCUGCUAAUACCGCAUAAGCACACACUGCCGCAUGGCAGAGUGUGAAAAGAGAAUCGCUAUGAGAUGGACCCGCGUCUGAUUAGCCAGUUGGCAGGGUAAGAGCCUACCAAAGCGACGAUCAGUAGCCGAUUUGAGAGGAUGAACGGCCACAUUGGGACUGAGACACGGCCCAAACUCCUACGGGAGGCAGCAGUGGGGGAUAUUGCACAAUGGGGGGAACCCUGAUGCAGCGACGCCGCGUGAGUGAAGAAGUAUUUCGGUAUGUAAAGCUCUAUCAGCAGGGAAGAUAAUGACAGUACCUGAAUAAGAAGCCCCGGCUAACUACGUG
Molecule: ribosomal RNA, 477 nt
Filed under: uncultured bacterium
Lineage: Bacteria
Description: partial 16S ribosomal RNA
Rfam family: Bacterial small subunit ribosomal RNA
Source: RNAcentral